This 1507-nucleotide ribosomal RNA is filed under the name Chloropicon primus. Its description in RNAcentral is "bacterial SSU rRNA". It matches the Rfam family "Bacterial small subunit ribosomal RNA". The record is from RNAcentral. Lineage: Eukaryota; Viridiplantae; Chlorophyta; Chloropicophyceae; Chloropicales; Chloropicaceae.
GAAUAAUAGGGUAUGAUCCCGGCCCAGAAUGAAUGCUUGCGACAAGCCUAAUACAUGCAAGUCGAACGCACUAAAUAGAUGAACUUUAAAGUCAUCUAAUGGUGAGUGGCGAACGGGUGAGUAACGCGUAAGAAUCUACCUUCUACAUAGCCAUAAAUAGGUAAAGGCCAAGUCCGGUAGGAGAUGAGCUUGCGUAAGAUUAGGUAGUUGGUGAGGUAAAGGCUCACCAAGCCAAAGAUCUUUAGCUGGUCUGAGAGGUUGAUCAGCCACACUGGGACUGAGACACGGCCCAGACUCAAUGAUAGAGGCAGCAGUAGGGAAUCUUAGACAAUGAGCGAAAGCUUGAUCUAGCUAUGUCGCGUGGGUGAAGGAAACCUUCGGGUAGUAAAACCCUUUAGUUGGAUAAAAGAUUAUGACUGAAUCCAACCAAAAAGUCCCGGCUAACUUCGUGCCAGCAGCCGCGGUAAAACGGAGGGGACAAGUGUUAUUCGGAAUGACUGGGCGUAAAGGGUCCGCAGGCGGACUUAUAAGUUCAAAGAGCCAUCCCAGAGAACUCCUUUGGUUUAUCUUUGAUAAGUAUAGGUCUUGAGUCAGAUAGAGGAAAGUGGAAUGUCAUGUGUAGGGAUUAAAUUCGCGAAGAUGUGAUGGAAGGCCGAAAGCGAAGGCAACUUUCUGGGUCUCGACUGACGCUAAUGGACGAAAGCGUGGGGAGCAACAGGGAUUAGAUACCCCUUUAGUCCACGCCGUAAACGAUGAGUGUUCACUUUGGGUCUUAAUGAUCCGAGGUCUAGCUAACGCGUUAAACACUCCGCCUGGGGAGUACGGUCGCAAGGCUGAAACUCAAGGGAAUUGACGGGGGCUCGCACAAGUGGUGGAUCAUCUUGUUUAAUUCGAUAAUACGCGCAAAACCUUACCAACCCUUGACAUCUUUUUUUUCUUUCCCUUAAGAGGGGAUUGAUCUAAUAAAAGACAGGUGCUGCAUGGCUGUCGGCAGUUCGUGUUGUGAAAUGUUUGGUUAAAUCCUAUAACGGACGCAACCCCUUCGAAAUUUUUCAUUUGCUUUUUCGUAAUGCCCAUGAGAAGUGGGAGGAAGGUGGGGAUCACGUCAAGUCCUCAUGGCCCUUAUGGGUUGGGCUACAAAGGUGAUACAAUGGUAAUCACAAAGGGAUGCAAUGAUUUAAGUCGGAGCAAAUCCUAAAAAAUUAUCCUAGUUCGGAUUGGUCUCUGCAACUCGAGAUCAUGAAGCUGGAAUCACUAGUAAUCGUGGAUCAGCAUGCCACGGUGAAUCUGUUCUCGGGCUUUGUACACACCGCCCGUCACACCGGGGAAGUCGGGUUGAUCUAAAAAUCUUAAAUCUAUGAAUAGAAAGAAAACUUUUUCUUCUCUCUUUGUGAGAGUUUCUCUUCUUUCUAUUCUUAGGUCUUUAGGAACUAAGGCCAGCUUGGUAACUCUGGUGAAGUCGUAACAAGGUAGCCGUAGGGGAACCUGCGGCUGGACUGGCUCUUUU